RNAcentral lists this ribosomal RNA (600 nucleotides) under uncultured bacterium. RNAcentral describes it as "bacterial SSU rRNA". It matches the Rfam family "Bacterial small subunit ribosomal RNA", at positions 28 to 607 of the family's 1533-position model. The record is from RNAcentral.
GACGAACGCUGGCGGCGUGCUUAAGACAUGCAAGUCGUACGAGAAAGUCACUUCGGUGGCGAGUAAAGUGGCGCACGGGUGAGUAACGCGUGGAUAAUCUGCCCUUAGGUUUGGGAUAACCCCGGGAAACCGGAGCUAAUACCAAAUGAGACCACGAUGACUUCGGUCGAUGUGGGAAAAGGUGGCCUCUUCUUGAAAGCCAUCGCCAAAGGAUGAGUCCGCGUUUGAUUAGCUUGUUGGUGAGGUAAAAGCUCACCAAGGCUCCGAUCAAUAGCUGUCUGAGAGGAUGAUCAGCCACACUGGAACUGAGACACGGUCCAGACUCCUACGGGAGGCAGCAGUCGGGAAUAUUGGGCAAUGGAGGCAACUCUGACCCAGCAACGCCGCGUGAAGGAUGAAGGCCUUCGGGUCGUAAACUUCUGUCGAGAGGGAAGAAACACGUACGGUUAAUAUCCGUGCGUCUGACGGUACCUCCAAAGGAAGCACCGGCUAACUCCGUGCCAGCAGCCGCGGUAAUACGGAGGGUGCAAGCGUUGUCCGGAUUUAUUGGGCGUAAAGCGAGUGUAGGCGGUUUGACAAGUCGGGUGUGAAAUCCCAGGG